UGGGGAAUAUUGGACAAUGGGCGAAAGCCUGAUCCAGCCAUGCCGCGUGUGUGAAGAAGGUCUUCGGAUUGUAAAGCACUUUAAGUUGGGAGGAAGGGCAGUAAGCGAAUACCUUGCUGUUUUGACGUUACCGACAGAAUAAGCACCGGCUAACUCUGUGCCAGCAGCCGCGGUAAUACAGAGGGUGCAAGCGUUAAUCGGAAUUACUGGGCGUAAAGCGCGCGUAGGUGGUUCGUUAAGUUGAAUGUGAAAGCCCCGGGCUCAACCUGGGAACUGCAUCCCAAACUGGCGAGCUAGAGUAGGGCAGAGAGUGGUGGAAUUUCCUGUGUAGCGGUGAAAUGCGUAGAUAUAGGAAGGAACACCAGUGGCGAAGGCGACCACCUGGGCUCAUACUGACACUGAGGUGCGAAAGCGUGGGGAGCAAACAGG
Molecule: ribosomal RNA, 429 nt
Filed under: Pseudomonadota bacterium
Lineage: Bacteria; Pseudomonadati; Pseudomonadota
Description: Proteobacteria bacterium partial 16S ribosomal RNA
Rfam family: Bacterial small subunit ribosomal RNA
Source: RNAcentral